Molecule: transfer RNA, 72 nt
Filed under: Camelus bactrianus (Bactrian camel)
Lineage: Eukaryota; Metazoa; Chordata; Mammalia; Artiodactyla; Camelidae
Also listed under: 2 other names
Rfam family: tRNA
About the family: Transfer RNA (tRNA) molecules are approximately 80 nucleotides in length. Their secondary structure includes four short double-helical elements and three loops (D, anti-codon, and T loops).
Source: Rfam by way of RNAcentral
AGCGGUACAGCUCAGUGGUAGAGCAUGUGUUUAGCACACACAAGGUCCUGGGUUCAAUCCCCUGUACCUCUA